Long non-coding RNA from Gossypium arboreum, 1707 nucleotides. RefSeq lists it as uncharacterized. NCBI's taxonomy places the organism in Eukaryota, Viridiplantae, Streptophyta, Magnoliopsida, Malvales, Malvaceae. The record is from RefSeq and is a predicted model, not a curated record. The transcript is spliced from 2 exons.
AUUCGAAACAAUAUUUACUAAAAUACCCGUUAUUCAAUAGAUUUACGUAUAUAUAUUUACGUAUGUGUGUGUUAUUCAAUCGAUUUACGUAUAUAUAUAUAUAUAUAUAUAUGUAUGUGUGUGUAUAUUUAUAUAUUCUUCAUUUCCUAUAAUUAAGUAAUCUUAACCCACUCAUAUAAGUCAUCUCCUACUAUUUGUUUCAUUGAGCUGGUAAUGUGUUGGAAAUAUGUUUUUGACAGAGAAGUAGCUUUUUUCAUUUUAAAGGGUCCAAGAUUCUCAUCUCAUGUUUUGGCAGCCAACCAUAAUCAACUUACCUUAUCCAACAAUCAUCUCUCUAUACAGCACACAAUCUUUUAUUCCCUCUCCUUUAUCUGCAACAUCAACUCAACAGGCAAAGGAAGAAAGGGUAGUGGUGGGGGAGCGUUAUCGUCUACGUGCAAUGAAGCUGCAGAGAGCUCUAAAGCUAUAGCUUCUUCAAGAAUGAGGUUGGAGCUGGAAAGAGGUCUGUCAUUACACUUUGUGGGCUGGUCGGAGAAGGUUGGUGAUGGUGAUGGCAGCGCAGGUGAGAAGAAGGGAAAUAUGGUGAGAAUUAACAUGAGAAAGGAGAGAGAGAUUUUUAGUGGUGAUAGCACGUGGCCUUUUUUAAUUGGUGGAAUGUUUUUUAAAGUCUGUUAAGAAAAUUGACUAACAAAUAGUUGCGCCAAAAAAAAAAUUUAAAUAUUAAAAGUAAAAAAAAUAUAUAAUUUAAGGGUUAAAUAGUAAAUUAAGCUUAAUUUUAUUAUAAUUAUUUUUAAAAUAUUAUUUAAAUGUGUGUUCAAAUAAUUAUAUAAAAAGGGAUAAAAAUAAAGAGUUAAAAACUUGUUGGGUGUGAAUUUGAUCCUUUAUUUCAGCCACAUAGAUGUAAUAGGAUGGAGGUGAAGGUCACGCAAUAGGCUGGAAUUUUAGUUGGUCUAAAAGAUGAACAGCAAACAUCAAGCAUCAUGGACUCCUCCUCCAAGUCCUUAUUCCUAUCUUUCUGACUCUUGAAUACUAUCAUCAUUACCCCCUCACCACCACCACCACCACCACUACCACUUAUCGUCAUCAUGAUCAUCCCCACUUUCUUUUCAACAUCAUCCAAGCUCACAACCCAAGUCUCAAAGCUAAACAACCACAACAGAACUACCACCACCACCAAGAAGAAGAAGAGGAAAAAGAAGAAGAAGAAGUAUAGCAAGCAGUGAUGAGACUACUUUCAGUUUUCACUUAAACAAAGUCUUUUACUACUAUGUGUUAUGAGUGGAAGGGUCUUUUUGUUUCAGAAGAUCCAACAACUCUAUACGGGGAAUCAAGCUUCUCGGCAUGGUGUUUGUUGAUGGUGUUCUUGGCGGUAGGGCUGAUCUCCCAAUGUCGGAUGAUAAAGUUGUGGAGCAGACCAAAGGUGAGAAGGGCAUCAGAUCAAAAGCAGUACUCAAGGAUGCUAUGCAAUAUUUAAGUGAAGAAAGAGUUUUAGAUGGAGAACAUUGUGGCAAUAUCAUUUAUGAAAGAAGGAGAAGAUAAUGGUGAUAUGUUAAUUGUAUGUUGCCCCCCAAUUUCUCUCUCAAAUCUCCCAACAUGUUUCCUUUGUCUUUUCUUAAAUUUUGUUUGUUUGGUGAUCUGAUACAAAAAUAUAAAUACUCAUCAUGACAUAUGCAAACAGGUAUUAUUACCAUGGAACCUUGACCAAAA